RNAcentral lists this ribosomal RNA (544 nucleotides) under uncultured bacterium. Its description in RNAcentral is "bacterial SSU rRNA". It matches the Rfam family "Bacterial small subunit ribosomal RNA", at positions 966 to 1509 of the family's 1533-position model. The record is from RNAcentral.
GAACCUUACCUGGUCUUGACAUAGUAAGAACUUUCCAGAGAUGGAUUGGUGCCUUCGGGAACUUACAUACAGGUGCUGCAUGGCUGUCGUCAGCUCGUGUCGUGAGAUUGUUGGGUUAAGUCCCGCAACGAGCGCAACCUUUUCCUUAUUUGCCAGCGGGUUAAGCCGGGAACUUUAAGGAUACUGCCAGUGACAAACUGGAGGAAGGCGGGGACGACGUCAAGUCAUCAUGGCCCUUACGACCAGGGCUACACACGUGCUACAAUGGUCGGUACAAAGGGUUGCUACCUAGCGAUAGGAUGCUAAUCUCAAAAAGCCGAUCGUAGUCCGGAUUGGAGUCUGCAACUCGACUCCAUGAAGUCGGAAUCGCUAGUAAUCGCGGAUCAGAAUGCCGCGGUGAAUACGUUCCCGGGCCUUGUACACACCGCCCGUCACACCAUGGGAGUUUGUUGCACCAGAAGUAGGUAGUCUAACCGCAAGGAGGACGCUUACCACGGUGUGGCCGAUGACUGGGGUGAAGUCGUAACAAGGUAGGCGUAGAUGA